GCACCUGUGGGGUAAUGGUAGCCUUAGAGCCUUCCAAGCUCUUGGUCCGGGUUCAAAUCCCGGCGGGUGCA
This 71-nucleotide transfer RNA is filed under the name Candidatus Iainarchaeum sp. Its description in RNAcentral is "tRNA-Gly". It matches the Rfam family "tRNA". Rfam says of the family: Transfer RNA (tRNA) molecules are approximately 80 nucleotides in length. Their secondary structure includes four short double-helical elements and three loops (D, anti-codon, and T loops). Lineage: Archaea; Nanobdellati; Candidatus Iainarchaeota; Candidatus Iainarchaeia; Candidatus Iainarchaeales; Candidatus Iainarchaeaceae. The record is from RNAcentral.